Molecule: ribosomal RNA, 497 nt
Filed under: uncultured bacterium
Lineage: Bacteria
Description: partial 16S ribosomal RNA
Rfam family: Bacterial small subunit ribosomal RNA
Source: RNAcentral
GAUGAACGCUGGCGGUGUGCCUAAUACAUGCAAGUCGAGCGAACAGACGAGGAGCUUACUCCUCUGACGUUAGCGGCGGACGGGUGAGUAACACGUGGAUAACCUACCUAUAAGACUGGGAUAACUUCGGGAAACCGGAGCUAAUAUCGGAUAACAUGUUGAACCGCAUGGUUCAACAGUGAAAGACGGUCUUGCUGUCACUUAUAGAUGGAUCCGCGUCGCAUUAGCUAGUUGGUAAGGUAACGGCUUACCAAGACAACGAUGCGUAGCCGACCUGAGAGGGUGAUCGGCCACACUGGAACUGAGACACGGUCCAGACUCCUACGGGAGGCAGCAGUAGGGAAUCUUCCGCAAUGGGCGAAAGCCUGACGGAGCAACGCCGCGUGAGUGAAGAAGGUCUUCGGAUCGUAAAACUCUGUUAUUAGGGAAGAACAAAUGUGUAAGUAACUAUGCACGUCUUGACGGUACCUAAUCAGAAAGCCACGGCUAACUACGUG